RNAcentral lists this transfer RNA (66 nucleotides) under Megathrips lativentris. Its description in RNAcentral is "tRNA-Ile". Lineage: Eukaryota; Metazoa; Arthropoda; Insecta; Thysanoptera; Phlaeothripidae. The record is from RNAcentral.
AAAUAAGUGCCUGAGUAUAGGAUUAUCUUGAUGUGAUAAAAUAUGUUAAUAAAUUAACCUUAUUUA